GUACACGCUGUGACUAGCAUAUCAAUAAGCGGAGGAAAAGAAACUAACAAGGAUUCUCCUAGUAACGGCGAGUGAAGCGGGAAGAGCUCAAAUUUGAAAUCUUAAAGGGUUUCCCUUUACGAAUUGUAGUUUAAAGAAGUGUUUUCUGUUGAGGUUUUGGUAAAAGUUCUUUGGAAUAGGACAUCAUAGAGGGUGAGAAUCCCGUAUUUGACCUUUACUUUCAACUUUGUGAUACACUUUCAAAGAGUCGGAUUGUUUGGGAAUGCAGUCCAAAAUGGGUGGUAAAUUUCAUCUAAAGCUAAAUAUUGGCGAGAGACCGAUAGCGAACAAGUACCGUGAGGGAAAGAUGAAAAGAACUUUGAAAAGAGAGUUAAACAGUACGUGAAAUUGUCAAAAGGGAAGCGUUUGACACCAGUGUUGUUUUUCUGAAAAUCAAUUAAAGAACUGUUUAUGCUAAGUUGUUUAGACUUUAUCAGCUAACUGUUUAGUUUUGAGCUUUUCUUUAAUGCACUUUUCAGUUAACAAGUCAACAUCAAUUUCUUUUGCUGUAAAAAAGCUUGAGGAAGGUGGCUUGAGAUUCGUCUUAAGUGUUUAUAGCCUCUUGCCUAUGCAGUCGGAGAGAUUGAGGUCUGCAGCGUAGAUCCCUCGGGGCUAAAUGCAUUUGUGCUAAGUUAUAGCAUUUUAUAGACAACUUGUUGACUAUGAUUUGUCUUGUAGCUUACUCGCUUAUGUUAUUUUACCUACGCUUAGGAUGUUGACGCGCGUGUGUGCGUG
This 774-nucleotide ribosomal RNA is filed under the name uncultured Neocallimastigales. Its description in RNAcentral is "partial large subunit ribosomal RNA". It matches the Rfam family "Eukaryotic large subunit ribosomal RNA", at positions 22 to 639 of the family's 3401-position model. The record is from RNAcentral. Lineage: Eukaryota; Fungi; Neocallimastigomycota; Neocallimastigomycetes; Neocallimastigales.